This is a long non-coding RNA of Alosa sapidissima (American shad), 418 nucleotides long. RefSeq lists it as uncharacterized. Lineage: Eukaryota; Metazoa; Chordata; Actinopteri; Clupeiformes; Clupeidae. The transcript has 4 exons. The record is from RefSeq and is a predicted model, not a curated record.
AGCAACCACAGAAAAACUUUUGAAUGAAAUCAAACGAAAGACACGAACCAACACGAACUAACACGAACCAACGAGAAUAAUCUAUCAAUAAGAACUCAAUAAGAAGAGAAAAGAAACCUGAACGAGAACAUAAACCUGACCGGAGGGAAAACGAUUGACAGGACUAACGUUAAAUCGAAUGGAUUGAAGACAUCCAGAAGACAAAACUUCAAACAGAACUGCAACUUUCUGAACUGCCUGUACUGCAUCGAAUGCUGGCUUCGGUCAGGUUUUUUAUAGUGGAUAAAAGAUCUGAAUUGAUGGCGAGCCUCCCAGAAUCCCGAAUCUGAACUUCCCUUCACCUUUCAUUUCCCUUCACACCACUGUGGUAGGACUGUAAGACUGACCCAGACUGACCUUUUGACUAUUCCCUGACUUA